CCUGGGUUCCGAAGCUGUGUGUCCGUCUCCGCCAGCCCCCUUUUGGGGAAGAGCAAUGUCGCGAGGGUUACAAAGUCGACUUUGAACUUUGUGAGGCCCCAAGCUUCCAUAAACCCCAAGCGUGGGGUGAUGACUAAGGCUGUGGAAUAUGAGCUAGAGCAGGAGACAGCGGUCCACGGGGAGGACAGAGAGUGCAAAGCCCUGGGAGGUUGGCCAGGAGAAGGGGGAGCAGGGCCACGAAGCUCACUCCAGCUGUGAUCAGAUACAAACACAGGAGUUGCUAACAGUAAUCCCGCGCACAUUUCCAGACUCAACAGUCAGCCCCUAAGGAGCUGGUCCAAAGGGGCUCUCACAUUGACGCUCUUCCCCGCACGGGGGACGUCUGCGUCGCCGCACGCCUCUCUCGGCACUGGUAUUGGCUAACUUCCGGAUCUUUGGCUCACCUGAUGGGCGCACAUAAUUGGCUGUUUUAAUGUGAGGCUGCACAGCUUUUCUAAUGCUGGCCAGCCAUUUGGAAAUGAAUCCUUCUGCCUGAGACUAUCUUGUUGGAGUCAUUGCCCAUUUCUGCUGGGAUUUUUUCCUUACUGAUGUGGGGGAGUGUAUCACAUGUCCCACAUGUCCCACAUACUUACACUUUGCUUUGUAUACGUGUAAACGGAGCAAAUACGUGU
Long non-coding RNA from Callorhinus ursinus (northern fur seal), 671 nucleotides. RefSeq lists it as uncharacterized. The record is from RefSeq and is a predicted model, not a curated record. Lineage: Eukaryota; Metazoa; Chordata; Mammalia; Carnivora; Otariidae.